This 214-nucleotide long non-coding RNA is filed under the name Bos taurus (domestic cattle). RNAcentral describes it as "long non-coding RNA NONBTAT025630". The record is from RNAcentral. Lineage: Eukaryota; Metazoa; Chordata; Mammalia; Artiodactyla; Bovidae.
ACUGCAGGACCAAAUAUAAUUUGGAUUACAGGGAUGGAUUGGGAGUUCUUAUUGAAGCACAGGUCUUUAAGAAAGAAGAUUAAAUAUCUUUGGGAAAUAAUUUUAAGCCUUUAAAAAAUUCACUGCUUUUAAUCUAUUAUUCAGAUCUGUAUGCCAGCUCUUCACCCCCUCAUAUUUGAAAAUAAAAAUUUUCCAGAUUUUUUAUGGUUCAUUA